AGAAACAAAAAAAAAACAAAAACUUAUUCAACAUUAAUUAAUUAAAAGAGAAAAAAACUAUGCCUUAAAAACAUAUCUGUCAAAAGACUAUUUGUGACGGCACGUUUCACGUUAAGAAACAACUUUGAACAAACUAAUGUUAAUAAUGGAUUUUAUUUAUUUAUUCGUUUCUGUUUUUUUUUCGCGUCAGCAUUAGUUCAUAAUUUAUUUGAUUACAUUUGAAUUGAAUUGAAUUGAAUCGUAUAACGAAUAACGUUAUAAAUCUUCAUUAAACUGGUUUUCAUCAAGUAAUAAUAAUAAUAAUAAUAACAAUAAUAAUAUUAAAUAAAAAAAAAACAAUAAAUAAAAAAAAAAAAUAAAUAAAUAAAAAAGCGAAAAAGUCUUCCAUUUUCCCAAGUGCCUUACCUACCUCUCGCUUCAGCAUAAAUAAUAUCCACAAAAAAAAAAAAAAAAAAAA
Glossina fuscipes is the source of this 457-nucleotide long non-coding RNA. RefSeq lists it as uncharacterized. NCBI's taxonomy places the organism in Eukaryota, Metazoa, Arthropoda, Insecta, Diptera, Glossinidae. The transcript has 2 exons. The record is from RefSeq and is a predicted model, not a curated record.